Molecule: non-coding RNA, 72 nt
Organism: Kalaharituber pfeilii
Lineage: Eukaryota; Fungi; Ascomycota; Pezizomycetes; Pezizales; Pezizaceae
Source: the annotation of a GenBank genome assembly
GCCCGAAUGGCUCAAUGGUAGAGCGUGUCACUCGUAAUGACAAGGUUCUCGGUUCGAUUCCGAGUUCGGGCA